Molecule: unclassified non-coding RNA, 278 nt
Filed under: Hevea brasiliensis (rubber tree)
Lineage: Eukaryota; Viridiplantae; Streptophyta; Magnoliopsida; Malpighiales; Euphorbiaceae
Source: RNAcentral
GCCACUUCAGCCAAAACUGCAGCUUGUGGGGUUGGUUGAACUUCUUCAGCUUGGGUUGCAUCCUCUUGUUUCUUGGCAAUCUUCUUAAUUUUCUUUUGCUUUGCCCUCCUUUCUGCUUUAUUUAACUUCAUUACACCAUUAUCUACCUGGUCCUCUUCCGUUGCCUCUUCAUUCCCACCAUUUUCAGGUGCAUCGGAUAGUUUUGAUGUCCGGUAGUAGAGUUUCCCAUCAAGAGUUUUGACAGGAAGAGCAUCCACACGAUCAACUUGGAGCUUAUU